GGAUAUGACGGCAAUCUGGCUGUGACAUCUGUCGCCCCACUGGUCACUCAGGGUUCAUUCAGCAUAUCUGGCUGGCGAGGCAGGUGUUCCCUUCCUAAGGCUCCGUGUGUGUUCCAGCAAAGCCCUGCGAUUGAUCAGACCCUCCCUUGAUGAGGAGGACCAUACUUUGGUCAAGGAUGUACAGGUGGCUGUGCUUCCUUGCUAGAACCUCAAAACAAGCUCUUAAAACACCGUUAACAUUAAGAAAACUUAAAGAGAAAACAAAACACCUAACCAGCUUUGAGAUUGUCCAUAUUCACCUCCACUGU
This 308-nucleotide small nuclear RNA is filed under the name Saimiri boliviensis boliviensis (Bolivian squirrel monkey). Its description in RNAcentral is "7SK RNA (ENSSBOG00000002656.1)". It matches the Rfam family "7SK RNA". Rfam says of the family: 7SK was discovered as an abundant small nuclear RNA in the mid-70s but a possible function has only recently been suggested. Two independent studies have found that 7SK RNA binds the CDK9/cyclin T complex (known as elongation factor P-TEFb). Lineage: Eukaryota; Metazoa; Chordata; Mammalia; Primates; Cebidae. The record is from Rfam by way of RNAcentral.